RNAcentral lists this ribosomal RNA (119 nucleotides) under Trichobilharzia regenti. Lineage: Eukaryota; Metazoa; Platyhelminthes; Trematoda; Strigeidida; Schistosomatidae. The record is from RNAcentral.
NNNGGCCACCAUACCACUUUGGAAACACUGGUUCUCAUCCGACCACCGAAGUAAAGCGAGGUUGGGCCCGGUUAAAACUUGCGUGGGUGACCGGCUGGGAAUACCGGGUGUUGCCAGCU